GAUGAACGCUGGCGGCGUGCCUAAUACAUGCAAGUCGAGCGAACGGACGAGAAGCUUGCUUCUCUGAUGUUAGCGGCGGACGGGUGAGUAACACGUGGAUAACCUACCUAUAAGACUGGGAUAACUUCGGGAAACCGGAGCUAAUACCGGAUAAUAUUUUGAACCGCAUGGUUCAAAAGUGAAAGACGGUCUUGCUGUCACUUAUAGAUGGAUCCGCGCUGCAUUAGCUAGUUGGUAAGGUAACGGCUUACCAAGGCAACGAUGCAUAGCCGACCUGAGAGGGUGAUCGGCCACACUGGAACUGAGACACGGUCCAGACUCCUACGGGAGGCAGCAGUAGGGAAUCUUCCGCAAUGGGCGAAAGCCUGACGGAGCAACGCCGCGUGAGUGAUGAAGGUCUUCGGAUCGUAAAACUCUGUUAUUAGGGAAGAACAUAUGUGUAAGUAACUGUGCACAUCUUGACGGUACCUAAUCAGAAAGCCACGGCUAACUACGUGCCAGCAGCCGCGGUAAUACGUAGGUGGCAAGCGUUAUCCGGAAUUAUUGGGCGUAAAGCGCGCGUAGGCGGUUUUUUAAGUCUGAUGUGAAAGCCCACGGCUCAACCGUGGAGGGUCAUUGGAAACUGGAAAACUUGAGUGCAGAAGAGGAAAGUGGAAUUCCAUGUGUAGCGGUGAAAUGCGCAGAGAUAUGGAGGAACCCCAGUGGCGAAGGCGACUUUCUGGUCUGUAACUGACGCUGAUGUGCGAAAGCGUGGGGAUCAAACAGGAUUAGAUACCCUGGUAGUCCACGCCGUAAACGAUGAGUGCUAAGUGUUAGGGGGUUUCCGCCCCUUAGUGCUGCAGCUAACGCAUUAAGCACUCCGCCUGGGGAGUACGACCGCAAGGUUGAAACUCAAAGGAAUUGACGGGGACCCGCACAAGCGGUGGAGCAUGUGGUUUAAUUCGAAGCAACGCGAAGAACCUUACCAAAUCUUGACAUCCUUUGACAACUCUAGAGAUAGAGCUUUCCCCUUCGGGGGACAAAGUGACAGGUGGUGCAUGGUUGUCGUCAGCUCGUGUCGUGAGAUGUUGGGUUAAGUCCCGCAACGAGCGCAACCCUUAAGCUUAGUUGCCAUCAUUAGGUUGGGCACUCUAAGUUGACUGCCGGUGACAAACCGGAGGAAGGUGGGGAUGACGUCAAAUCAUCAUGCCCCUUAUGAUUUGGGCUACACACGUGCUACAAUGGACAAUACAAAGGGCAGCGAAACCGCGAGGUCAAGCAAAUCCCAUAAAGUUGUUCUCAGUUCGGAUUGUAGUCUGCAACUCGACUACAUGAAGCUGGAAUCGCUAGUAAUCGUAGAUCAGCAUGCUACGGUGAAUACGUUCCCGGGUCU
This 1372-nucleotide ribosomal RNA is filed under the name uncultured bacterium. Its description in RNAcentral is "bacterial SSU rRNA". It matches the Rfam family "Bacterial small subunit ribosomal RNA", at positions 28 to 1381 of the family's 1533-position model. The record is from RNAcentral.